This 365-nucleotide ribosomal RNA is filed under the name uncultured Anoxybacillus sp. RNAcentral's name for it is "bacterial SSU rRNA". It matches the Rfam family "Bacterial small subunit ribosomal RNA", at positions 1017 to 1382 of the family's 1533-position model. The record is from RNAcentral. Lineage: Bacteria; Bacillati; Bacillota; Bacilli; Caryophanales; Anoxybacillaceae.
ACUUCCGGUACGAUCGGUGACAGGUGGUGCAUGGUUGUCGUCAGCUCGUGUCGUGAGAUGUUGGGUUAAGUCCCGCAACGAGCGCAACCCUCGACCUUAGUUGCCAGCAUUCAGUUGGGCACUCUAAGGUGACUGCCGGCUAAAAGUCGGAGGAAGUGGGGAUGACGUCAAAUCAUCAUGCCCCUUAUGACCUGGGCUACACACGUGCUACAAUGGGCGGUACAAAGGGUCGCGAACCCGCGAGGGGGAGCCAAUCCCAAAAAGCCGCUCUCAGUUCGGAUUGCAGGCUGCAACUCGCCUGCAUGAAGCCGGAAUCGCUAGUAAUCGCGGAUCAGCAUGCCGCGGUGAAUACGUUCCCGGGCCUU